UUUUANNGGAGACCUGUAUGAAUGGCACAACGAGGGUUUAACUGUCUCUUUUUUCUGGUCAGUGAAACUGAUCUGCCCGUGCAGAAGCGGGCAUACCAACACAAGACGAGAAGACCCUAUGGAGCUUUAGACGCCAACCAACCACGAAAAGCAACCCAACAACAGGGCCCCCAAACAGCGUGAUUUUGGCACAAACGUCUUCGGUUGGGGCGACCACGGGGGAAAACGAAGCCCCCCAGAGGAUUGGGAAUAAACCCUAAAACCAAGAGCCACAGCUCUAAGUAUCAGAAAGUUUGACCAAAAAUGAUCCGGUUCACUACCGAUCAACGGACCAAGUUACCCUAGGGAUAACAGCGCAAUCCCCUCCCAGAGUCCACAUCGACGAGGGGGUUUACGACCUCGAUGUUGGAUCAGGACAUCCUAAUGGUGCAGCCGCUAUUAAGGGUUCGUUUGUUCAACGAUUAAAGUCCU
Molecule: ribosomal RNA, 471 nt
Filed under: Rhinosardinia amazonica (Amazon spinejaw sprat)
Lineage: Eukaryota; Metazoa; Chordata; Actinopteri; Clupeiformes; Clupeidae
Description: partial 16S ribosomal RNA
Rfam family: Bacterial large subunit ribosomal RNA
Source: RNAcentral